Molecule: ribosomal RNA, 528 nt
Filed under: Thamiocolus sinapis
Lineage: Eukaryota; Metazoa; Arthropoda; Insecta; Coleoptera; Curculionidae
Description: partial 16S ribosomal RNA
Rfam family: Bacterial large subunit ribosomal RNA
Source: RNAcentral
AAAAACAUGGCUUUUUGAUUUUUAUUUAAAGUCUAACCUGCUCAAUGAAUUUUAAAUAGCCGCAGUAUCCUAACUGUGCAAAGGUAGCAUAAUCAAUAGUUUCUUAAUUAGAAGCUGGAAUGAAGGGUUGAAUGAGAAAAUAUCUGUCUCUAUAAAAAUUUAAUAGAAUUUUAUUUUUAAGUAAAAAAGCUUAAAUUUAAGUAAAAGACGAGAAGACCCUAUAGAGUUUUAUAUUUAUAUAAAAUAGUUUUUUUAGUAUUUUAAAAUUUAUUUUUUUUAAGUAUUUGGUUGGGGUGAUUAGAAAAUUUAAUAAACUUAUCUUUUAAAUUAUACAUUUAUUUAUGGGUAUAUGAUCCUUAGUUUAGAUUACAAGAUAAAAUUACCUUAGGGAUAACAGCGUAAUUUUUUUUGAGAGUUCUUAUCGAAAAAAGGGAUUGCGACCUCGAUGUUGGAUUAAAAUAAAUUUUUGGUGUAGAAGCUAAAAUAAUUAGGUCUGUUCGACCUUUAAAAUUUUACUUGAUCUGAGUU